This 382-nucleotide ribosomal RNA is filed under the name uncultured Pseudomonas sp. Its description in RNAcentral is "bacterial SSU rRNA". It matches the Rfam family "Bacterial small subunit ribosomal RNA", at positions 1002 to 1382 of the family's 1533-position model. Lineage: Bacteria; Pseudomonadati; Pseudomonadota; Gammaproteobacteria; Pseudomonadales; Pseudomonadaceae. The record is from RNAcentral.
AGAGAUGGAUUGGUGCCUUCGGGAACUCUGACACAGGUGCUGCAUGGCUGUCGUCAGCUCGUGUCGGUGAGAUGUUGGGUUAAGUCCCGUAACGAGCGCAACCCUUGUCCUUAGUUACCAGGCACGUUAUGGUGGGCACUCUAAGGAGACUGCCGGUGCAAACCGGAGGAAGGUGGGGAUGACGUCAAGUCAUCAUGGCCCUUACGGCCUGGGCUACACACGUGCUACAAUGGUCGGUACAAAGGGUUGCCAAGCCGCGAGGUGGAGCUAAUCCCAUAAAACCGAUCGUAGUCCGGAUCGCAGUCUGCAACUCGACUGCGUGAAGUCGGAAUCGCUAGUAAUCGUGAAUCAGAAUGUCACGGUGAAUACGUUCCCGGGCCUU